Lytechinus pictus (painted urchin) is the source of this 392-nucleotide long non-coding RNA. RefSeq lists it as uncharacterized. The transcript has 3 exons. The record is from RefSeq and is a predicted model, not a curated record. NCBI's taxonomy places the organism in Eukaryota, Metazoa, Echinodermata, Echinoidea, Temnopleuroida, Toxopneustidae.
UCUACCCGUUGGUUGUAUUACAAUGCCAUCCAAUGUGUAUCCGUCUCAGAUGUUCAGCCUGAUCACAUACUAUCUUAUCAAAAUACAGAACAAGAGAUCACCAUUACUGUACAGCAGCUUCCAACCCUCAAAGACAACGAACAAUACCAGUGUGCCUUCGACUCUUUCCUGGUCAAUGCUGUUACAACGUCCGACACAGUAGUUUGCACAACUCCUCCUGUGGACGAAUUGCCUACAAUUCCUGAAGAAGAUGACCAUAAGAUUUUGACCCUUUCCAUUUUCUCAACGGAGACCACAGUUUACUUCAUAAGCACGGAUUUUAUCUUGUUUGACUGCACCCAUCAUAAAUCGUAUGUAACAAACUUCACUGGAUAUUUUAACACAGCGCCUUU